AUAAUAUAUGACUGUAAAGAUAUGAAAAAUUCUGAAAUUACAUAUAGAUAGGCAGCUAUAAAAGAUAUCUUUCUGAAAUGAAAUUUGCUCUUAACGAUGUAUCCAAGAACCUGAAAAAUUGUGAGACCAGCAGUGGACUUUCAAAACAGGGACAAGCAUUAAGAGGAGUUGGAGCUUCAGAGAAGUACACUAUUAGCGGCUGCCUCUGUAAGAUAGCUACUGGCUAUCGAGAUUUUACACACUGUCAAGAUUACUUGGACAUUUGCACAGAUCCUGUUAAAGUCACAUCACCUUGAUGCUGUUCUCAACCACCUAAUAAGGUGUAUGUGAAGAGGUGGCAAUGUGUAGAGAAAUAGUUUGACUUAGCAGGCUGUGCUAUGUCAUGUUCCCUGUGCCAUGUUAUCCAGGAUGCAACAUACCUUUUACCACAACUCUCAUCCUAGAGGCACACUUCACCUGCCGGUUUUCAGCCUGCCCACACAGAGAAAAUCUACCCUCUCUGUUACCUCCUUCACCCUGUACUACAUGUUUCACAAUCUGAGCUGGGGUGACAUCCUGUCCCAAAAGAUUCAUCCAGUGGGCAAGACAGCCAUAGGUUAUCAAAACAUCAUCACCUGCUUCUAAUGCUUUGUGCAUCUUCUCCAUGUUCUUUGUGUUAUCUGUUACCACAGUUUUAACUCGGCAGCCAUAAGACUCUUAGGCUUUGGACUUAGACUCAAGUAGCAUUUCUUUGCAAGCUUCUGUGUCUUGACUGUAGUCCCUGUACUCUGUGCAUCUAUGAAGUAUACUUCACCUUCACAUGUAACAGACGAUGCUACUACGGGGACAUUCUGCUCCAUCCAUCCUGUUGAAUGGUAACAGUCUUUCCAUCCAACUUAGCCUUCAUUUUAGAUUGAAGCUUUUCAUAGAUCUGAUUGAAUUGAGGUAUGUUGAACUGAUUGCUCUUCUAGUAAGUGGCUGAUACCCCAGCCUUAGUGUGAACAAUUGCAUGGAAAAUUGGAUUUUAUACCAUAGGGAAUGGAAGAUUGCAUCUGUAAAUGAACUCGGCAAUAGUCAGAUCUAUCUUCUGUUUGGUAGCUGCUGGAGUGCUAACCAAGAAUUUAGCCAUACCAGACUGGACUUUCUUUGGCUGAGGACCUGAGACAUCAUAUUCGGGUGGAUGCCUUUUGGGCUCUGUCAACACAGAUGAAUUUAUUCUGGCCCUCGACUAGUUCAAAAUAAUCCCAUGUAGAAUCUUUGGGUCUGCACCCUUAAGCAUACUGAAAGUUACAAUCUCCCGAGGUAUAUCUGAGAUGGAACAAAUGUUUGUACACAUAUUACUAGUGCUCUUGCACUUGCCAAUGAAGUAAACUUCAGUGAGAUGUUUAGGUGUGAAUAGUCACUUUGUGACUGUGAGUUCACUUAGAAUACCUUUUGCUGGUGACUUGUAGUUAAAUGUGUUUUGGCAAUUUUGCUAUAUUUUGUGCUUUCAUGUAUUCUUAAAUAACUAACAAUUAGGUCUUCCAACAUAAAUUUGCUACAUGAAUAUACUAUGGUAAAGAUGAAUUUGCCAGCAUAUACAUUUAAUACUCCACAUUAUUGUAAUAUACAAUUAUAAUGUAUUUUGUAUUGUGAUGUAAUAAUUCAUGUUCAGAAUUAGGUUUGAGACACAAUUUAAAGUAACUUUGUGUUUUUGACAUUUUUGACCAUUUUAGGUGUCCAAAACCUGCCAACCCUGCAUGCUUCAUUCCAUUAUGUAUGUACACAUCUUUUUUUAUAUACAUGUUAUAUGGAAGAAGUAUUUAAAUAAUAAAAUAUGCUUCAUAUAAA
RNA transcript from Penaeus monodon (black tiger shrimp), 1809 nucleotides. RefSeq lists it as uncharacterized. The record is from RefSeq and is a predicted model, not a curated record. Lineage: Eukaryota; Metazoa; Arthropoda; Malacostraca; Decapoda; Penaeidae. The transcript has 4 exons.